Non-coding RNA from Caenorhabditis elegans, 21 nucleotides. The record is from Ensembl. NCBI's taxonomy places the organism in Eukaryota, Metazoa, Nematoda, Chromadorea, Rhabditida, Rhabditidae.
UAUUGACUAUGAGAUCUGAAC